Molecule: non-coding RNA, 18081 nt
Organism: Xyrichtys novacula (pearly razorfish)
Lineage: Eukaryota; Metazoa; Chordata; Actinopteri; Labriformes; Labridae
Source: the annotation of a GenBank genome assembly
UAAAGCAAUCGCGGAGAUUACCGCGAAAUGCCGCGAUGAAAUACUAAGUUGAUCUUUACGUUGAUUGUUGUGCAUUUGUGAAGAAGUGAGUAUUGUUAAGUUAAUGUUUAUGUUGAACGAUUGUGUGUUUUUAACUGAGUAUGACUCGUGAUUUAAGUAGUUAGUUUAUAUUUACUGAAGCUACCAGUAUCAUCCACAGGUUCACCCUCUUAGUUAAUUCACAGUGUAGUUCAGAGUUUGUUCUCUCACUGGUUUCUUAAACUCUAAUGUAUAAAUAAAAGUCUGAUUUCUUUAGUAAACGCAGUGAAACAUGAACGCUGAGUACAGAGCUGUGUUUGGAGCUCUUGAACUGGAGCGUUGACAGUUUCAGUUUUUCUGAGCUGCCUCUGAAUAUGUUCAGAUAAACUCAGAGUUGUGUUUAGUUCUGUUCUGCUCAGACCUCUUUUUGCUAGUUUUAGGUUUAGUUUCUGCUGUUGCUGUGAAAAUGUGAACUUUCGAUUGUUCCUGAUGUUGUUUCUUUGUAUGUGUCUGAACGACGGGGUCAGAGAGUCAAAACUGAACAUUUUAUUCUCUCAUUCUAAAUAACUGGUUUUAAUGAGUGUGGCUAUUACUGAAUUAUUGAGUUUUAACCAGUUUUACAACAAUCUGAAGUCGACUCUGUCACCUGUAAUAUUUAAAAACCAGUCGACUUUGGCUCUUUGGAAACUUCACGGAUUGAAAACACUCUGAAUAUCUCAGGAGGAGUUUUAUUCACUGUUGACGUCUUCUUGCUUCAUGGACACCUUUAUUAAAUUUGUAGAAGACUAAACAAGUGUCUUUUUGAAAGUAUGUGAACCGUAAUGAGGUUAAACGACGUAAAGAAACAGGCCUCACUCACUCACUCACUCACUCACUCACUCACUCUGCGGCGAGCGAGCGCUCCACGUCUCGUCGAAGAUUUGCGGCGGUGUCGAUAACAUCACUAAUAAUGCUGUCUGUCUGUGUGCUGUGAUUUCUUUCAGCUGUGGGGAGAUUAGUGAUUUGCAUUUAAUACCCGGUGUGCUCUGCUGUUCCUUUUUUCAUGCAACAUUGCCGGAUAUGGAUGAUGACAUUAUAAUAAUUAAAGAACAUUAUGGACAGAGGGCGCUUCGCUAUUUGCUGCCGAGCGUAAUGGCGGCCAACGCUGUUAUUUCUAUUUGAAGAAUGCAUCCAAGUGUGAAAUAAUAAUAUUCCCUCCAGGAAUACCAUUGUCAUAUUUUAUUCGUCAGUGUAAAAAGAUGAAACAGAAAAACAUGAUAAAAAAGGAGCCCUCACUCUUCAUCUCCUCCAUCCUUCUUGCUGUUGUUUUUUUAAUUCUGCUGUUGCAGCAUCCAGCGCCGCCGAUGCUGUCUGCAAACCUCAGAGGCGGACUUAAUUAGUUGCUAAGAGAAAGCUGCCAGUGGUGGGGAGCACAGAGAGUGGGGCACAUUUUAGUUUGCUCUGAACUUUGCUAAUUAUCAGGUAGGAUGUAAUUUCCUCCGUUCCCCAGAGACGCCCAGCAGAGAGCCGCACCGGCGAAUCGGAGACAAACAAGGCUGAGCCCGGAAAAAGUGCGUCUGUUAGGAAUAAAUCCUUUCGCGACUAUUUCUGAGGACUAUUCUUUCUCUGUGUUUCUGGAGGUGUGAUUAUACUCCAGUGCUGUGACACACCGUGAACGCUACCUGAGAGGGUGUGGGAGAGGACGUUUGCACCUUCAUGGACAGGUGGAAACAGGAUGUAGUGCAGCUCAGAGCGGGGAAGGCGAGCGCAGGGCUCCGAUCAUUUAUAUCCAGCUAUGUCUGAGCAGUGACAGCGACUGUGUUUAGCAGGUUCCUAUCCCACAUGCAUCACAUUAUGAUUCUGAAGUGCCUCAGACGAAAGAGGAGGUUGAAUUGCCGUUGACCUGAGUGAGCUAAAAUGACAUAGAUUCAGACAAAUAGAGCACUGAGCUAGGCGGGAAAACAAGAUGGAUGUGUAGUGGCAGCACAUCUGCACAGGCUCCCUCUCUCUUCCUCUGUGAGUGUGUGUGUGUGUGUGUUUGUGUGUGCAUGUGUGAGUGUGUGUGUGUGAGCCCCAAACUUUUGACAUUUUCUUCAGACAACCCACAUCUAAAGCUGUCUGGCUGCACACUUAAUAGGCUUGCAAAGGGCCUCCAUGCUGCUUUAAACUCUAAAUAUUAAGCGCCUCCUCUCUGCACAAACACACUUUUUGGUCUAAUGUUGCACAGACUCGUCUUUAGCUGCUGGAGUUUAAGUUUCGCAGCUCGUCACAGAAAUCUCUGUGUGUUCUGAAACGUCAACGUGAAGUUUUCAGAGCUGCCUCCCACUUUAAAUCUUGGCAGACUCCUCAUUCUCUGCGUGUGUGUGUGUGUGUGCGUGUGUGUGAGUGUAUCUCCAUGGUUGCGGCGUCUAAUAUGCACGCCCCAGUGCAUUGAGAAAAGAGAGUACUUCUUCCUCACUUGGUUUAAUUGUCCCUUAGAGACCUGUGGAAUUGGAAUCUAAGUGGAAUACCAGUCUCUUUUUCCAGCCCUCCUCAGCCCUCCACCCCCUCUUCCUGCUCCUCUCUCUCUCCCUCUCUCUCUCUCUCUCUCCGGGGUUGGAGCGGGCUUUCGGAGACUCUUGAUUUGGUCCUGUCUUUAUUUCAUCACAGGCCUCUUCUCAGCUUGCUCCUAAAGCACCACGGCGUUCGGCUUUAUUAACCCCCCUAAGCAAGAAGUACCUAAGGGAGGUCAGACACUGGUCGUUAAAAAUCUAUUGUGACUUGUCUGAAAAAUGAAUAAAUGAGCACAUUAUUUCCCCCCGUUCCGCAGCCCCGCUACGCUGUUUGUCUAAUCAAGUGCGGGAGCGGGCAAAGUCAACCAGGGUUGACAUGCACAUUUUAUUUAAGUUUUUGUCUGUCAGAGGAGUUUAAAUGUGUAAUGAACAAAGGAGUGGUGAUUUGAAAUAUAAUCCCAUUACACUGAUGAAAUUACAAAGACGGCGAGAGUUCACAAAUCACGCUCAUUGUUUUCUAUCAUGAGCGAUGCGGCUGUUGAGGUUGUGGCGCGCAGAGGAAGGGCAGAGUGUGAAUGAAUAGUGACAGCACAGUAAGGGGAUUGGGGAGUGGAGCUCGGCCGGGCCUCCCUGCACCUCCCUGUACUGGGAGAUGCUGAAGGGCUUUGUUCCCGCCUCUGCUGCUGCUGCUGAGGAGCAGGAUGAACCCAGAAGAACCGGUCCAACAUAGAAGAAGAAGAAGAAGAAGUGGACAUGCUCACUUCUACAAAUCCAGAGAAACGGCAACGAAAAAAGAUCAUGAACUUCACCAGAUCGAAGUGAUGAUGUGUUCUCCUCAAACUUUCAGGAUUUGAAGUUGAGCUUGUGCAGGAUGAUGAAAAAUAACUCCAUGAUACUUUGAGGAUGCACCGAUAAAUGAUGACCGAACUGUGAGGCUGAGCUUCACAAACAUUUCCAACCAUGCACCGACUCAGAAGAUAAUGGAUGAUAAAAAGGAGCAUUCAUAAGUUUUCUAUUUGUUGCAUUUGAAUUUUGUAAAAUAAAAACUUAUCAGGUCAACCAGGAGGCGACUCUGUAGUCCUGAGCUGAAAGGGAACUGAAAACUCAACACAAGUUUUAAACGACGCAAAGAUACAACGCGAAAUCCCGAAAUAUUCGAAGGCAAAUUUUGACACGCCUGACUUUACACAGCAAGCCUGAUGCGAUUUUAAGACUUUCUGGGGGAAAAAGACGCGUCCCAGGUGGAAGCGAGGAGACUGAGCCAACAGCAGACUGAGUGUUUUUCAGUUCUGAUUAGACUCUAGUGUUUAGAUGUCUGUCUGUCAUGAUAGCAUGUACUGAGUCGGGGCCAGUACCAGAUAAACACAUUAAACUAUAAUCCAUAAACGUAAGGAGAUCAAAUCUGACCUUCCUCAGUAAAAGGCCAAACGUCUCAACUAAGUCCAGUUGUCCUUUCAAUGAAGAAUUGGAAAUCAUAGAUGCUGCACCCACAGCUUUUUUGAACAUUUGAGUCAGUGAUGGCGCCCCCUGCUGAUGACGCAGUCUUUACCUAGCUAGUCCUCUUCAUGCUCCAUGUUUGACAAAAAUCCUCCCGCCAAAAAUAGCAAAUAUUUCAUUAAAGAUGGAGCCGUUUCUGCUCAGAUUCGCUGAGGUCAUCUUUGAGGAUGGACAGGAUCAGUAAACGAUGACUGAACCGUCAGUCUCUCAUUUUCCAGUCCUGUCUGUAAUAUUUCGUCUGGAGGAGUAAUCUGACUUUGCGCACAGAAAUCUUUUGAUGUUCAUCUUUGAUUCGUGGCGUGCUAAAAGUCAGGCCGCCGGCUCGGAGAAAGUUACAGCUAACUCCAGGAAGAAGAAAAAAAACACAGAGAGAGACAGGAGAAACUUGUUUUAGUUGCUGCAGCUUUAAUUGGAAGCCUCACAUGCCCCUUAAACAACAUCAUCUGAAGCUAAUAAGACUUAAAAAGUACAUCUGGCUGUAAAAUGCUUACCAUUUUUAACACUAAUGAACUGAGGCGUGCAGUGGAGAUGGCCAAAGUGCGAGGAGACGUACAGUAUAUUCUGGAGAAUUCCCCGGCUGCACAGGAGCUCAUAAAACACAUCUGAAGACAGAACUUGUAUCUGGUUAUUCGUGUUUAAUUGGAGGCGCUGAGUGAUGCAAACUAGCUUUUAAUGCCCUCCCCUGCUGCCUGACUACAAGUAGCAUCGGUGUUGCAACCCCUCCUCUCCCAUCUAUCCUCGCAGAAAUGACCAAACUCACUGCUAACAACGUCUGAAGCACACUCGCCUCCAAACGUGGCGGCACAACAUGCCCGCAUUAGGAGCUAAAUGCGUCUAAAUGCCGCACUUUGGAUUUAUAUUCAGGCGCGCACACGGGCGCAGAAGUAUGUGUGAAGGUACGAGGAAAGGUUCAGUCACUCUGGAUCUUGAUUUAAUCGCGUUAUUUUCGCUUAUUUUGGCGCCGGCGUUGAUAAUUGUGCCAUCAGUCCGGAGAAAGUGUGAAGAGGGUGAAAACGCCACAUGGAAAGUGCGAGCGGGGUGUCAUCUGCGUGAUGUAUUAAAUCUGGACGCCAUCGAGUUGACGAUGACAUAAUUCAGAAAAACAGAGCGACGGGCGUUAGCGUCCGCUUCAUAUUCAUUUGAUGUCCUCUCUCCUGCCGGAUGACCAGUUUCUGUUGGACUCGACACGGCGCUCAGUCUCCGGCGUUUCUUUGAGGCUUGAUCUCCUCCAUGUACGAUAUAAUCGCUCAUCCUGUAAACAUGAGAACAGAUUGAAUAAAGAAUACUUUGCUUUCCCUUGGCCCUGGAAAACAGUUCUGUCAUGUGCUGUCCACGCUCAUCUCAGCUCCAGGCUGGCGGCGGCGCCUUUAUUCAAUGUGACAGAGGAGAGCUGGGGACUCUUUCUCCUGGCACCCCGGUACGCGCCACACUGACACUCUCCUCUGAAGUGCCACAUUAAUUCUAAUAAAGCGCUGCCUUACCAGGGCCCGCGAAGACCAGGGCUGCGUGAGGGGGGGCAGACGCUCGUAUAAAUACCAGGCUUAAUGAAGGGAGGCAGUGGUGGCGCAGGUGGCGUGGCAGUGCAGGUGGCACCUCUCGCCCUCGGGCUCCUGGGUGAGUCCGCUGCCACCGCCACUCCAGGGGGCACAGCAGCAGAGAUUGCAUUUUAAUUACCAGGUACACCUUGUCCUCCGGACGGGUCAGCGCCUUGUUGGUGGGAGUGAGUCUGCAGACGAGCGUGUCCUGGGCGCCAUCUCUACCUGCAUGUUUACAGAGAUACUCCCCUGAACGCCGGAACACAACACUCCACACCUUCUUGUUCAUGCUCCAGCCGUCACCGCUCAACACGACUAAUUCUGUAUGUUCACCAGGAUGCCAUCUUCUCUGAAUUAUGUGCGCCUCGCUCCCUGUGGGGAGGCAUCCAUCCAGCCUCAGUCAUCGCUAACCCUCCCCAGGAGGAGCUCCAUCCACAGGGAGGUCCACACCUGUUUCCUCCUCCUCAUUCCUUCAUUCUGCAGAAAUCAUCCCUCUUUCUCCUGCAGCUCUAACUCAAAACUCUCGACGUUUCUAAUCUUUACAGUUUUGUGAACGUGGUGAAGCUCGUCUUUAUCGUUAUCAUGAAUAUUACGGCGUUUCAGGUCGUGAUUUUAUUAUUUAAACAAUUGUGCGUUAAAGACGGCGUGUUAAUGUCAACCUGCUGCACCGAGAGAAAAAAGAUCUCUGCUGAAAUAAUCAUCUGUUUGUAUUGUCAUAGUUCUCGAAUCAUAGUGUAGAAAAAUAUGUUGUUUUCAUCGUUAUUUCUGUUUAUUUCCGUCUUUAAAGUCGGCACCAGCAGCAGAGUCUUUUCUCAAACUUCAUCCUGAUCCACCAGUUUACGUGGUUUCAUUUUUACAUGUUACGCCUCCUGCCAGUACGUUAGUCACCUUUUUACCGUCUUUGUGGGACUGAAGUGAAAGUUUGGCAAAGUUUUUACUCUUGCUUUAAAAAAAAUCUGAGAAAUGUUUUCCUGCUGUUUGUUUUUUGGUCCAGAUAUCAUAUUACUAAGUUUAAUUUUAGUAUAAUAAUUAUAAUAUUCCUAAUGUUACACCCCACCUGAAGGCGGCCCUAUGGGGCUAACAAAUUAAUUAAUUAAUUAAAAUAUUUCUUAGUUACAUUUUAGUGUCAUAAUUAUAAUAUUCCUAAGUUUAAUUGUAGUACAAAUAAUUUUGAUAUUUUUGGUUUAAUUUUAGUAUAGUAAUUAUCUAAUUCCUGAGGGUUUUUUUUGUAAAAAUAAUUUUAAUAUUUCUUGGUUUAAUUUUAUUGUAAUUGUAUUAAUUUUUAGUUUAAUUUUAGUAACAUAAUUAUAAUAUUCCUGAUUCCUAUGUCUCCUAUAUUCCUAUGUUUAUUAUUUUUGGUUUAAUUUUAGUAAAAUAGACUAAACAGGGGAAUUGGCAUCACCACAGCUGUAAUAGAGAGUCAUGAUAUCUACGUUAUAUUUUGUCUGUUAAAUAGUUGAAGAUCCUGAAUUUUCUUUUUCAGUCUUCUUAUUCUGGAUGGACACAAUAUUGUGUGAAUUAUUAUUGCGUUCACCUCGAGGGGGCGUGGCCUCUUUUGUUAGCAGGAAAUGACGUUUGCGGCUCUCACAGGACUCCGGCCUACUCCUUGUGCGUGUUGCAGUCCUUUACAGAUGGGUGGUGAGAGGGUUUGCUGAAGGAGGGGGUGUUUUGUAUGUCCAGGACAUAUGAAGACCCCACCACCUCCACCAGCUCCCCCCUCCUCUGUCUCUGGGGAUGCUUCUGUCAGAACGCUGCAGCACAGAUGUUGUUGCAUUGUCUGGAGCACCGAAGCCCAGAUCAGCCCAACUGGGAGCUUCCACUCAUUAGCUAUUGUCUGUGUGUGUCUGACUCGGCCUUUGAUGAAUGCAGCAGUUAGCCCACGAUCAGACAGCAGACACAGAGAACACAGAACCCGCCAUCUACCCGUCCAAAGAUAAUACCGCCGUUUGUUCGACACGUUUGGAUGAUCAUUGUUGAUUUUACAUCCAAAUGAGAAUUUUUUUUCUUUUCUCCGAUAAAAACCGACCACAGAUGAGCCGGAUCUCUCCUUGUCUGCACUCAGCAAACACGUUCUAUCAUCUUAAGCUCUGUAUUUACCUUAAAGAGCACGGGCUCCAAGCUCCGGAAAACAAAAGGGCACCGUGUCUGCCACUUGGAUACUCUGCUCUCCUCUUUGCUUACUCACCCAGAGAAAGGCCAUGCUAUUAUUUAUAUAAUUCCCCCUCCUUCCUCCUCUUCCCUCUCCUCUCCUUCAUGCAUCCACACAGUCAGCCAGCCAGCCAGCCAGCCAGCCAGCCAGCCAGGCUAUGAACACAUUGCAGGGCCUGAGGGCAGUACUGUGGACAACCUGCGCUGUGUUCACAUGGCUGAGCAGAGCGCGAGUGAGGAAGACUGGCACGCUGAAACCAAACAGGUGUAUGAUUCAGAGGCGUGAGCUGUGAAGGGUGAAUUUUUCUUAUACAAGUCAAUGUUGCUUUUGGAGCAAACAGCAGCUUGGAGCUGUCCCAGGAAACAUUUACACGCAAUGUGACUUUUUCCCUUCUGCAGCAGAAAUGAAUUCCUAUUGUUCCUCAGACAUUCCCAGUCUGACUCUGUUCUCGCUCUGGGAUUCAAGGUAAAUAUUGCCUUAAAAUCAUUCGUCAACAUGGCGACUUAGAUCUACAGUAAGUAACGCCAUCUGGAGUCUGCAUGUCGCUAAUAAGUGUCGUUCUGGUUUCGAACCGUGGUGUUUUCCUGUGAAGUCUGUGGAUUUUUCUCUCAUGAGUUCUCAGUUUGUGUGGGAGGCCUCUUCAUUUAGCUUCUACUGUCACAGCUCUAUUUAUUGAUCUCACGCUGACAAACACUCAUCACUUUCUGUGCGUCACGAGGAUUUUAUUUGGAAAGAUCUGUCCGGAAACUGGAGCAGAUUCAGAAACUCACCGUUUGUUACAUAAAACCCUUUAUUUUAAAUCAUUGUUAGUGUUUGUUUCUGUUUUAUUUCAUGUUGCAGAGUUAGUGACGCUCUCAGCUCUGAAUCAUUUCAACAUCAUCUCCGCCGUUCAGAUUAAAAAUCACUUUUUAUAGAAGUCAAGCCUGAUCAGGGUUUACAGUCAUGAUUGGACGAUUUUAGGUGCAAAUUAUCGGGCAGGAAAAUACACAAAAAAUCUCAUUUUAAGAUUCACCUCAGACUGCAGUUCGCCUGCAGGAAAGACUGUGAAAAGGUGACUCCGGCACCAGUAAAAGGAGAGUUAAUGGUCAACUGGAAUCAAUGGAAAUGAAUGUUUGAUUAGGAGAUGAUAGUUUUCUCUGUGAAGCUGCAAAACAGCCACCAAAAAACAAGUCUGGAAACAUGAUCAAUUAAUAAUUAAAUAGAUUAAUUUAAAAUGUAGUUUAAGUUUAUUUCUUAGAUUAUAAAAUAUUGGAUUUGUGCUGCUUUUUCCUACUAAAAUCACUGAAUAUAAAGAGUUUAAAACUUGGAUAAAAUCUGAAAUUAAAAGUAGUUUUAGUUGAAUUACCUGUUUUUAUUCUGCUGUGUAAAGGCGGUUUUAAUGUUUCUUUAUUUGGGUCUUUAAAUGUGAGUUUAAAGGCUGAAACGGGGUCAUCAUUUAACCGUUUGACUUUUCAGUCUUUCGAAUAAGUUCUUGCUAACCUGGGGGACUUUUAGUAAUCAACUUAUUGAUCGUAGUUCUGAGCCAAUUAGAUUACCUUUUCAGUAAUCUAGCUGUGUCCCUGUAUCUCUGCAAUUACCACGAUAGUAGAAAAGUGAUGGCACGAAAACACAACAGUGAUACCAAAGUGUUUUUAGGCUCGACACAGAGACACAAACAAGUGGGUGUUACUGUUUUUAACUUUUAACAACCGAUAAUCAAUGAGAGAUUAAAGUAAUAUUCACAUUUUAGAGCUCUGACCUGCGAACCCGAAGAAGCUCGGCGUUUAAUAAUCCGCUUUAACAAGAAAUCAACAGACCUCUGCUCACUCCGAAUACAGAAAUGACAGCGUGUCCCGGAGGAGUCUGUACAGAAGCGAACAUAAAUCUGGGCUGCACAGUCACUCCUUGAAGGCUGGACCUCGGGGUUAAGAUAAGAGACCAUGUUAGCGGUUAUUAAGUGAAAGUUUCCAAUCGAUAGCCGGGGAGACGUAAUCAGGGAGGGUUUAAUUGCAGAGGGGAAGACAUCUAUUCAGGUUAUUGCAGCAGCUGUCCAGAAAAGCUUCAUUUUUUCUGCUCCAGAGUCUCCCUCCAACGUCCGACCCGGGCUGACCCCCUGAAAGGCUGCGGCUCGCUCCACGCCGGACAUUUAGUGAUAUCACUUGGUGUUUCUUUGGUGACAUUUAUAUGAGUCAAACACUGACGCCAUACAUCGUGAAAAAGGCCUGUUUCCCGGCUCUAAAUCUCCCCCUUUAAACACAUAUAGUUGUUAUUUAUUCUGCUGCUGAUGCAUGCUGUAAACAUAAUGCUGACAACUCCACUUUCUGUCGUUGUAAAUAGCUCAAAAAAUGUGACUCUACACCUUUCUUUGUCACAAAAGUAGGAAUCAAGUGAGCACAGGGGAAAUGUUUAUUGGCUUUCCGGAAAGAAAAGAGAAACUUAUGAGUACAACUCUUUUCUUUUUUAUACGGCUCUGAAUUCUCUGAAGCAUUAACCUUUAAAAAUCAGAUUUACAUCUACAUUUGUCAACCUCCUCCUGGCAAUAAACACCUCAGAGACUCCAAACAUCUCCCAUGACCUCAGAAAAUAUUCGCUCUCGUUAUAUAUCAACCAUCACUUACAACUCCGGCUAAAUAAAUCAGUGAAUACAAUAAUUAUGCCUUUUCUCCGUCCUGUCAGGAGGAAAUAAAGCCGUCUGAUCCAGCACAAACUGAAGGGACUUUUGAAACAAUAUCCCCACAUUAAUCACUCACAUUUAUGCUGCUUUUUUACUAAUAAGACGCCAAUCAAGAGGAGCGGCCACUUCAGGAUCAGACCAGAGGGGUGAUCCUUUCUCUGUGUGUUUCUACAGAUGAGGUUUUAUUCUCUAUUAUUAUUUAAUUUAAUAUUAUUGUAACACUUUAUGAACAUCGCUCUAAUUUGUCAUGACUGAUUAUCACUUAUAAAUAAUUGUUAUAAAGCACGUUUGUCGAGCCUCAUAAAUUCAUCUGUUAGAGUUGAGUUUAUAUGAAAGUUUAUUUUUAAAUACAGUUCAAUCUCUUUCAUAUUUAAGCAUUGUUUUGAUUUAAAUUAAAAUAUUGUAGAUUCUAAUGAAUUGAGUCAAAACUAUUUUAAUCCCAGAUUGUAGAUAAUCCGAUAGUAGAACUAGAUGUCUGAUGUUACAAAGUGAACACACUGAAACCACAUGGAGGUGAUAUUUAGUGUAUUUAUCAGAGAACAUAUAUUUUCAAAUAAAUCUUCACCUUUUAGAGUUUAAUACAAAUCCUAUUGUGAUUUGUUGUUAAAUAAGUUUAGUGUUGCUUCAUGAGCUGAAAAUAGUUUGACCUAGAGGACCUUUAAUUUUCAUUUUUUAUGGAAAAUCCAACAAAACAGGAAACUGACUAAGACUUUAUUAGGCAUGUACUGAUAUAUUUAUACAUAACCUACUUUUAUGUCUGACCCUAACCCUAACCUGAACAUCAAUCAAUUAAUCAAUUGAUCAAUCAGACUUUAUUUGUAUUGCACUUUUCAUACAGUGUGAUGUCGUGCAGAGUACUUUACAUAAACAGAAAAUCAUUAAAAACCCUAAAUCACUCAUGUAUUAAGACAAACAGGCAAGUAAGAAUUUAGAAAUUAAGUAAUAAUAAUUAAAAAAAACAAUAAAAGUCAUGAUGUAACUUAUUUGAACAUAAUAGUUCUCUGUCCACGUCGUAAAUUAAAUUUUCAGUCAAGUUCAGAUAUUUUUUCUCAUUUGUUAGUUUUUUUAAAUAGCUGAAAAUUGUCAAAUACAAAUAUCUAACAUCAAUAUGAUCUGUUUCAUUUUUAGUGUAAAAUGUCUUAUAAUAAGUAUACAGCUUUUCUUAAAAAAAAAAGUACAACAUAAACAAAACACGACUGAUCAGAAUUAAAUCACGUUUAAUUGAGUCUCUGGAGCAGCGACAGUCAGACAGCCGACCAAUCAGAGCGCACUUUUCUCUCUUGUCACACACUUUGGUCUUUUUGUAGUUCACGCAGACUAAACCUGCAACAUGGAAACAAAUUGCUUCAUAAUUUUGACAAGAGCAACUUUAUUUUAAUAUAGCAGUUCGUAACAGUGUGCAGCUCAAAUUGCUAUUUUUAGGAAGUUAAAAAACUAAAUUUAUGGAAACAUUUAAUCAGACAGAAAUUCUGAUCCCACAGAGUGUCCUGGAUAAAAAGAUGUAUAUUACAUGACAGACUAUUGAUUAACAGUUUGCACAAGGACGAGACAAAAACAGCAAAAAAAAGAGAGUUCCCACUUUGUCCACAGGGGGCGCCAAAGACAGAACAGACAACAAGUUCCUCACUGGAGCUUUAAGACAAAAACAAAAUCUGCUGAGAUGAGUCUGAGGCCGUUCAGUAACCCUAAAAAAACCACCUGAUCCACUAUAAACACCCUCAGAAAACUGGAGCAUUUCCAGACCAGUUAAACCAGUUAAACCAGUUAAAGAGCCUCUGCUGCAUGAAUCUGUCUGAUCAUAAUAAAAAGAGUCACAUUCAUUCACUUCUGCUCCUGCCUUGUUCCAGCCGGCUCAUUUCUGGCUCCAUGUGCUGCCUGAUCACCAAAAUCCAAAGGCGACUCAUUGCGGGGAAUUUCCUGCCAUGAAAACGAUGAUGAUGAUGUGAAUGGAUGGCUGACGCCGUGUCAAAUCCAGUAGAUGUCAGUAAAUUGGAACAUAUGUUACUUAAACUAUAACAUCAUGAUAAUUCUCCUCCAAGAUGGCUCAUAAAACUGGAAUUUAUUGGGCUAAAUCUGGGGUGAUGAUAACAUAGAUAAUUUUUAAUGGAAGGUUAAUGCGGGAAUCAAAAGAUAAAAAUGGACCCUUUGGCCUUGUAUCAGCUGGAUCCCAGAAAAUCGGAGCGGUUUUUAUGCACCGUGGGGUGUUCCCCUUUCAUUACAUUUUAUAGCUCCAAGCAUAAAAAUAUACGGAACAUUUUCAUGGCUAAUAAAACCCCAGAUCUUUACAUGAUAAGCAGAAUGGAGACACUGUAGAGGAAAAAAAGAAAGAAAGAAAGAAAAAAAAAAAUAUUCCCUUUGCUGUUUGUCCCAGCAGAGUGAGGAGCGUGUUCAGCUGCUCGGGAGCCAAACCUCCUCCCAGUGGAGAGACUCUGCUCCGACACAAGCACCGAGCGCCUCCUCUAUUCCCACAGACGCACUUUUAAAAUAGGCCACAUUGGAGAAAACAUGACUUUUCACUAUUCUAAUAAAUGGGAGCCUGCCUGUUUAUUAUUAAUGACAUCCCAGCACACUUUUCAGAUUUGGUUGGUGUUACGCUCAGUGAGUAAUUUAUAUUCAUGCCAGCGUGAGAGCCUGCCUGUGUAUGCUUACUGUCUUUUUACUGUCAGCUCUGUGUAGUAGUGCCAUGAAAUUUUAAUGUUUACCAGGUCAGUCCUGACCUUCUUAAUCCUGCUGGUUAUUAAUACGCUAAAGCCAACACAGAGGAACAAUUAAUCAAAAACACCUCUUUUCUUCCCUUUUCCACCUUUCAUACAUAUUAAUUAUAUUCGGCUGCCUUGGGCUGAGGAGUGCAUUAACAUGUAUGCACCCUGGCAGAGAAAUAAGUCAAAAAGCGGCGCCGCUCUGCCCCCACGGCGAGGAGGUGCUUCCCCAGGAUUAGCCUUACGACAGCGGGCUGAGUGGCAGGAACUUGAACAUGACGGAGCACUGAUACACUUUCUUGUCCAGACAAUUAUCUGUGGCCUACUUUUUCAAGCUAAUUCAACACACGGACCCCCCAGGUUGUGUGUGAAGCCUCCUGGUGGGGGGGCUGCAGCGGUGGGUGUCAGUCACAGGAGGACCAGACUGCCCCGGAGCAAAGCUGCGGGUCCCGGCUCAGAGGGAGGAGGAGGAGGAGGAGGGGAUGAUUGAAAUAGAAGUUGAGAUGUAGGACACAUAAAUAAAGCGUUUUUUCUUUUUUCCUGGAAUACUCUUCCCUCUGCUCACAUUUACAUAAUACUCCACCGUGCGCACCAUCACUCCCAUCAGCCCCAAGGUUGAUGGAGUCAUGUGACCAGGCAGAGAGCAGCGGGAUUGGACGGUUUUAUCAUCAUGAACCCCCAAAACCUCGUGUUCACCACACAGGUGAUUUUUCCAUCUGUUGCAGCUCCGCAGUCGAAUUUUUGAUCUGAUCCGACUUUAUAAAAUACACAAACCAGUAAAAACACGUAAACAACACCGCAGGAACACUGUCACCUACAGAUGGAGCUCUAACAGACUUUACUCUGUGUGUGUUUUGUGUUCCUCGAGGGCCACCGUAGGCUGCCGUAAACUGUGGCUGUCUGCUGUAAUCUGGUUACUAGUGUUGGUGCUGGAAACCUUUGUUGACGUCCUCUUGAUGAUUUUUCCAUGAAGUUUGUCUGUUUGUCCCUAAAAUGAUAAAGACUCUCCCUCUUCAUCUAUAUGAUCAUAAACUGUGUGUGAGGAUAACUCAGUGUCGACAGGAUUAAAGCGCACAGAGCAGCUCUGAGCAGCAGAGACGCCGAGAUGACAUUUGUUCUUUAAAACAGUAAGCUGCAUGUAGUUGAAUAUUUAUUUGCAUUAUUUAUAUUUUAUAUAUUAAUGAAUAUAUAUUUAGCCUGAUAGAGAAAUCAGCAUCUUCAGAAUUAAACAUAAAAUAAUCUCAUUUAUAUUUGAAAUGACUUUUCUGAGCUCCUGACUUUAAUAACAUCAAACUGUAACUCUCUUUUCUUAAAGUUAAACACAGAGUCAAACCUCAGAUUAAAAAGUACAUUCAGGAAUUAUUAGAUUAUAUCUUUAUUAUAUUUAUGACAGGUGUUGAGAUGUUCACAAACUCAAAGAAAAGCAGCUGAAUCUGUCUUCUAUAACCAGAUCUCAGAGCGAAAAACUUCAUUUUAAACCUUUUUAAUCGCUGAUUUUCUGCCUUUAAUCUUCAUUUUUUCUCCUCUUCUAUACAAACCGGUCAUGUUCGUCUUUUUCUGCAAAGAAAUAACUUGUUGCUGUGACUUUAACGCUCCUGACUGACGGCGGUGAUGUUUUAUAUUUGCCUUCAGUCUCUGAGGUUCAUCACAGAUCUUCACUCUCUAACUCAUCACUGCGUUUCCUUGUUAAAAAUACGAUCCUGAACUUCCUUCUCUCCUCAUUUAUGGUUUUCUUUAAAGCUCAUUUGAGGUUUUAACUCGUUAUAAACAGACGUGAAUUUGCACUGAUGCCUUUUUCCUUUUCGUCUCCAGAUUUGGUUGAAAGACUUUGCUGCAGGAAAAUGUGGAAAUCUCGGUGAGUUGGUGUCUGUAAAUGUUGUUCAGAGCAGAUUGAAGGUGUUGGAGGAGGAUGAACGAGGCUGCAGAUGCUUUGACUGAUCACUGUCUGUUAUGUGAACCCGUCUGUGUUGACAUGUUGUUUUAAAUUGUCUAAGUUUGUUAAUCCUGUAACAGAAAUGUUUUGAGUCUUUUCUGGUUAAAAACAUCAAAAAUCAAACAUCACACGUUAAAACUGGAGCAGCUCGGCCCUAAAACAUCGUCAUCUCUCUCUUUUUUCCAGGAUCAGGCCCCUGACUUCCUGGACCGCCGUACUCGCAGACUUCAUGACCUCCAAGCAGAGCUGGGAGACAAUGUGAGGUCUGGAUGAAAGGGCGUCGGAGAGCGACGGCGACCAUGGGUGGGGGCGAACAGGGGAGGAUGGGAAGCAGAUGGCAGCAGCUCUGUCCCAUCAGCACAACAGAAGGGGGACUCAAGAUGGCCACGGGCCCCCCCUCCUCACAAUAAGGGAGACGCCUUAUCAUCCCGCCAGCGUGAUCCGUUUCUAACAACAACCCCAAAACCUCCCUCCCCUCCCAGCCUCUAAUCACAGCGAACAGGAGCGGCCGAAUCAAUCACCAGGUACUUACAGAGUUACAUUCAAGUCCAGGGUGGCGCCUAUCGCAGGGGCCCUAAAAAUGAGAUCUAGAUGAGGAAAUAUAUUCUUCAAAAUGAGACGGAAUAAAAUCCGGUUUAAGAUGACGGGGCACGACCCGCCUGACGCGCCUCCUGGUCGACUAUGAAUGAGGCUGCGGCGUCUCCGAGCAGCUUGUCUGGGAGAUAACCUUCAGCAGCCUCGCAUCCCUGGCCUCUCCUCUCUGUGUGAAGAGCAUGUAGUGAAUAGGUGCUAAUUAAGCUUUGUGCAUAUAAAGACGACGGCAUACUGUUGCAGUCAGGAAAGAGAAAAAAAAAAAAACAGACUAAUUGUGCGGCGCAGCUUUGUUUCCUCCUGGAGAGACGUCGCCUCAGAUCCAGAAAAACUGCAGCCGUUCACUUCAGAGCUGAGAGAGAGUUCUUCCCUGAGAAAUGUAUAUGUAUAUAGGAACAGUAAAUCAGAGGUGGGAUCUAAAUUGUUCAUCUGAUGACUUUUCCCCACGCAGCACAGUCCAUCAUACAGGCCAGCGACAGAGCAGCAAAAAACCAAAGAAUCAUGCAUCUUUGCGAGUAGAAAUUAAUAAAAACACUAUGUCAAGGAGCCAGGAAAAAUGGUUUCCCCUAAUGGAUUCUCCACAGAAAACAGCUUUUAGACAAUCAAUCUUUCCUUUGAAAGCCCAAUUAUUUAAGUAAUUGUUCCUCACAAUUGCCACAGGAAUUUGUCCUCUGGAUGCUGUAAAAGUGAGCAUCUUUUGUCACUCGUAAAACGGCUCAUACCAUUUUUAUUGUGCUCAUUUAAUUUCUCAGCCACACUUCUACUUAACGCCUUUUGUCUGCAUUUAUAAAACUGUUCAUUCUCUAUUUGUCACACACACACACACAUGUACACACACACACACACACACAGGGUUUGUGGUAAUGUGGCAUAAUGGAAAGUCAUACAGAGUGUGAUGUCAAUCAGAGGCUUUGUUUACAGUCUCAUAUAAACACACCUGUUGACUGACAUGUUGUCAUUUCUACAGAGUGGAAAUCACUUCACUGUGGAGCUGUCUUAAUAUACAGAACUGAGGAGGAUAACCGUCUUUAAAGAUAAACGUAUGUCAGACUCAAAUAAGUGUAAAGAGCCACCGGAGGAAGUGUGUACUUCAAAAUAAAAGCACAGUUUUAAAAUGCAGGAAUUACAGCGACCGAAAUGCAAGACAGAAAACUAUCAAAAUAAAAGCCUCCUCAGACGUUCACCUUCUCUUCACUGAUAAUCUGACCGUAGUUGAUUUAAGAUCACCGUCAGUUAUCGUGAGUUAAAGUUCAGUCGUCCUCAGUUCACUCAGCGCUCACUCUCCUGUUUCCUCUCCGUCAAUAAUGGACCAAAAUAAAUCACCAUAAAUAAAAGUGUCACUGACUGAAAUGAAACGAUGACAUACAACCUUAAAUACUCUAAUCUGAUGUUAUUUUCCCUGUUUUAGAUUCUUAAAUUCACAUCGAUCAAAUUAAAUCAAAUCUUCAAACAUUUUCUAUAGUUUUCUAUAUAAAUCAGUUCAAUAUCAGUUCAUCAGGAGUCUGUCUACAGCUGUUAGAUUUAUUAUUUAACUCCUCACUGGAGGUCAAGUGAAGACAGUAUGUCGGUCAUUUCUCCACAUGUGUUUAGAUGAAUCAAACAAAGAUUCUCUGUUUCAGGUCUUCAGUUAAAAACAGAAAACACGACACUUUGAAAAACUUUCUUGUUUUGGAGAAGAACAGAUGUUUAGUUUAGUUUUUGUUUUGUUCUCUCUGCAGAUCCUCCUCCUCCUCCUCCUCCUGGACUCGUCGACAGUAUAUCUGUUUGCAUUGUUUUGGCAGUAAUCUCCCUUUUAGUCUCUGAGCUCCUGUGAAAUAAAUGUCUGAUGGUGCAGCUGUGCAGGAAAAAUGGAGCUGAAAACAUUUAGAAAUUUGGGCAAAAAAAAAACUGAGAACAAACUUUUUUACACCAGUGAAAUCUGAGAAAAGUAUGUUAAGCAGAAGCGGACUCAGACGGCUGUGAAGUCGAACUAACAUGAAAUUAUUAAAAUGCUAAAAACAUUUGAAGUUUCCCAGAAUAUUUCCAAAGUUUUUCCAAAAGGCUUUUCUUGCAUCAUUAUUCUAAUUUUGUUGUGCUUGUUAGUGUCCGGGUUACUGACAGCCUGCAGAUUCCUGUUACAAUUAGUCCUGGCAGCAGUGCCAGAUGUUUGUGAGAGAGGAGAGAGGGAGAUGUCAAACACCUGUCUGAUCACCACGGUGCACAUGCUGCUGCUGCUGCUGCUGCUGCUGCUGCUGCUGCAAGAGGCAACACUGCAACAACCACUCCUUGUUAGUUUAGUCUCCUCUUCAAGGUCCGCGCUGCGACUGCACAGCAGACACCUCGCUGACAAACACACCGCAGGUUUUAUUUUCAGGAUUAGAGGAAAUGCAAAAUGAGCAAAGACAAGAUCCUAACCGUGUCGGCUGGACUCAGGUCUGUUUUUUAGCUGCAGUUUUUGUCAGAGUGGUUCCUGUUAAAACCAGGAAAAGAACAAAUCAGUUUUUCUUUCUCUUAAAUUUCUUUGUGGUUUUAUUUGUGAUUUUUUCCCCAGAAGUU